AUGGAGCCGGCCGAGAAGAAGCCGCCGGCGGUGUCCGACCUCGGCGCCUGGGGGAUGAACGUCGUCAGCUCCGUCGGCCUCAUCAUGGCCAACAAGCAGCUCAUGUCCUCCGCCGGCUACGCCUUCUCCUUCGCCACCACGUUGACCGGGUUCCACUUCACCGUCACGGCGCUCGUCGGAUGGAUUUCCAAGGCCACCGGCUACUCCGCCUCCAAGCACGUCCCCCUCUGGGAGCUCGUCUGGUUCUCGCUCGUCGCCAACGCCUCCAUCACCGGGAUGAACCUCAGCCUCAUGCUCAACUCUGUCGGGUUCUAUCAGAUCUCCAAAUUGAGCAUGAUUCCGGUGGUUUGCUUGAUGGAAUGGGUACUCAACAGCAAGCACUACACAACCAAGGUUAUAUCAGCAGUGGUUGUCGUCGCAGCGGGCGUCGGGAUUUGCACCGUCACCGAUGUGGAGGUCAAUGCUAAGGGCUUCAUUUGUGCUUGCGUGGCUGUGUUCUGCACGUCGCUGCAACAGAUUACAAUUGGCUCCUUUCAGAAGAAGUACAACAUUGGGUCAUUUGAGCUGCUGAGCAAAACUGCACCAAUACAGGCAGUGUCACUUAUUAUACUGGGUCCCUUUGUGGAUUACUACCUAAAUGGGCGUUGGCUAUUGAACUACAGUUUUUCAACAGGGGCAACUUUCUUCAUACUGCUUUCAUGCUCCUUGGCUGUCUUCUGCAACAUGAGCCAGUAUCUCUGCAUCGGGCGGUUCUCUGCAACCUCUUUCCAGGUCCUGGGCCACAUGAAAACGGUGUGCGUGCUGAUCCUCGGCUGGGUUCUGUUCGACUCGGCUCUCACCAUCAAGAACAUACUCGGGAUGCUGCUCGCCAUCAUGGGCAUGGUGGUCUAUAGCUGGGCCAUGGAGUCUGAGAAGAAGGCCACCUCGGCGAUCCCGCGGAACAAGAGCGACAUGCUGGACGGGGAGGACGUGCCCCUCAAGUCGAGAACGAGCGGCAUUCCGCUGUCCUCUGAUGACCUCGAGGAAGGCCCGAUGAAGAGCUAG
Molecule: ribosomal RNA, 1044 nt
Filed under: Triticum aestivum (bread wheat)
Lineage: Eukaryota; Viridiplantae; Streptophyta; Magnoliopsida; Poales; Poaceae
Description: partial small subunit ribosomal RNA
Source: RNAcentral